Molecule: ribosomal RNA, 253 nt
Filed under: uncultured bacterium
Lineage: Bacteria
Description: partial 16S ribosomal RNA
Rfam family: Bacterial small subunit ribosomal RNA
Source: RNAcentral
UACAGAGGGGGCAAGCGUUGCUCGGAAUUACUGGGCGUAAAGGGCGCGUAGGCGGCCUGCUAAGUCGGACGUGAAAUCCCUGGGCUCAACCCAGGAACUGCGUCCGAUACUGGUUGGCUUGAAUCCGGGAGAGGGAGGUGGAAUUCCAGGUGUAGCGGUGAAAUGCGUAGAUAUCUGGAGGAACACCGGUGGCGAAGGCGACAUCCUGGACCGGUAUUGACGCUGAGACGCGAAAGCCAGGGGAGCAAACGGG